UUCUGCCCUAUCAACUUGUUGGUAAGGUAGUGGCUUACCAAGGUGACAACGGGUGACGGGGAAUAAGGGUUCGACUCCGAAGAGGGCGCCAGGAGAAAUGGCGACCAGUUCCAAGGAAGGCAGCAGGCGCGGAAAUUACCCAAUCUAGAGUGUGGGAGGUGGUGACGAGAUGUAACGGGUGCAGUUCCUUGUGGACGGCACACUGGAAUGAGAGCAAUGUAAGCGAUUGAGUGCGAGUAACAACUGGAGGGCAAGUCUGGUGCCAGCAGCCGCGGUAAUUCCAGCUCCAGUAGUGUAGAUUAAAGUUGCUGCGUUUAAAACGCUCGUAGUCGGAAUGUGUGUGGGGGUGUGCGAGUGUGGUGUGAAGUGGUAGUAAAUGUAGUAAGGAAACUUGGUACAACUGCAACGAAAACCAAGCGCACUUCCCCACCCAACUCGCGGCCGCCAGGGACCUUAAGUGUGUCGCUAGGCAGUACGCGAAGCGUGCCUUGAAUAAACGAGAGUGCUCAAAGCAAGUGUGGCUUGAAUGUGAAUAGCAUGGAACGAAAUGUGUGGCAUAGUGUGUUGUGUAAAGAGAUGGCACACUGCACGUAAAGAGGAGCGCACGGGGGCGCUGGGAUUUUGACGCGAGAGGUGAAAUUCUUGGACCGUGAAAGGACCAACAAAUGCGAAGGCAUGCGCCCAGAGCGUUUCCAUUGAUCAAGAACGAAAGUGAGGGGAUCGAAGUCGAUCAGAUACCGCCCUAGUCCUCACUGUAAACGAUGCCGACCGGGGAUGGGCUUGAAGUGUGUGUGUGUGUGUACGGCUUCCAGUUGGGCCCCCCGAGAAACC
RNAcentral lists this ribosomal RNA (831 nucleotides) under Ortholinea saudii. RNAcentral's name for it is "SSU rRNA". It matches the Rfam family "Eukaryotic small subunit ribosomal RNA", at positions 305 to 1099 of the family's 1831-position model. Lineage: Eukaryota; Metazoa; Cnidaria; Myxozoa; Bivalvulida; Ortholineidae. The record is from RNAcentral.